AGGCCCCGCCUCCCAGCGGCCUCGGCGGCUGGUUCGGGGGUCCCGGGGCCCCCGCGAUCGCUGGUGAAAUGGGCACGACGCGUACAGAUCCGGGGCCGCAAGCAUGGGGCCCGCACGCCCGGCCUUGGUUCUGGGAUGCGCACUGAGUAGCACUAUGCUCACAAGCGGUCCCAAGGGCCUUGUGCCCUAAUCAGAUGUAGGAAAUAAAACUCUGUCAACCUGGAGGCCCGGUUCAAGGCUUCCAGUCAAGCACUGGCAGGACAGACCUCUGCUGGGUGUCGCCUCUCCCGUCAGAGGGCGCAGCUCUGGCUGGAGGUUAACAGGCAGCAGGUGCACAGCUUAGUAACAGGAAGAAGUCGAAACAGAAUUAGAUCCACAGAGCGACCUAGUGCACGUGAUGAAUGUAAACCAGAACUCAAACGAUGCAACACAGGCCACUGUGAUCUUGGGAAGAUCGAAGCCGCAGACCAGCGUCUGGGCGUGGCCCACCGGUCGGCUCCGCCUCCGUCCGAAGCCUCGGCAUCUGGAGCCUCCCCUUGCCCUCCCCACGUGCAUCCCGGAAGCCCCAGCUCACGGCCACAGGGGUGGUCCGGCCGUGUCUGGUCCCGUCCUGUUUAAAGGCACCCACGGCAACCAUGAAACGCAUCCGGGAGAAGCGCACAGGCCGUAAGCCACGGACACGCUCGUCAGAAGGAUAAACCCCCGCUCAGAACAGCAGUGGCCGUGGGGGCGCAGGCGGGGCGGGACGGGGUCCCAGGCGCUUGGUUCCGCAGACUGGAGGGGGAGCGCUGGCUGUUCCCCGAGCUGCUGCGCCGACCCCUCAUCUCCCCCUCCCUGAUUCAGCACUCACUCUCCUUCAGAGCGAAACCCCGCCCCUCACGGCUCCCCGAGGCCUUGGUUUGCCUGAGUUCUUGUAAAACGUGCUGUUUCCAACACUUGGU
Phyllostomus hastatus (greater spear-nosed bat) is the source of this 941-nucleotide long non-coding RNA. RefSeq lists it as uncharacterized. The transcript has 4 exons. The record is from RefSeq and is a predicted model, not a curated record. Lineage: Eukaryota; Metazoa; Chordata; Mammalia; Chiroptera; Phyllostomidae.